Non-coding RNA from Ictidomys tridecemlineatus (thirteen-lined ground squirrel), 2555 nucleotides. The record is from RefSeq and is a predicted model, not a curated record. Lineage: Eukaryota; Metazoa; Chordata; Mammalia; Rodentia; Sciuridae.
UGUUCAAAGAAGAAAGCUUAAGAAUUUUAGCUCCCCAGAAUGAAUUAAUGUAGACUGCAUUGAGUCAAGAAAACUCUGUUUUUAUUUUAUUUUAUUUUUGGUAGCAGAGAUUGAACUCAGGGGCAUUUUACCACUAAGCUGCAUCCCCAGCAUCCCCAAUCUCUGGGACCGCCCCCCCACACCUCUUUUUUUUGAGACUGGGUCUCACUGUGUUGUGUAGAGGCCUUGCUAAAUUGCUAAGGCUGAUCUUAAACUUGCAAUCCUCCUACCUCAGUCUCCAGGGUGGCAGGAAUUACAGGUGUGGGUCACAAUGUGCAGUGAAAAUUGAGGGUUUUGAAAGUCUUCUCAAACAUCCCACCUAACAGGAAUCCCAAAUGGCUUCUUAUUGAUAGGGUCAACAUCCUCCCUCAGAUGCUGUCCCCACACUGCACCCUGGCUUAGAUGUUGGAAUUUUUUUUUUUUUUUUGAAUCAGGUUGAGGCUGUCUCAAGCUUGCUCAGAAUUCUAUGGAGCAGUUUGGGAGCAGGGUGAGUAAGGUUACCCUGAGAAUGAAGAAUUGAAAGCUUUACACUUGGCAAUGAUUCUUCCAAAGCCCUACACUAGUUUCAAGUUGGGGUACUUAUUUUUUUGGACAGAGAGCAGGCAGCAGCUCUCUUCUUGAUUUUCUUUUAAGCCUCAGACAGAGUUUGGUAAAUGGAGGACAGUGGCUUCAGAUACUUACCACACCUUCCAAAGAGCCCGGGUUUACUUCUCAGGUAUCAGACUCAGUGGACAUUUAUGGCUACAAUAGGUGCACCUUCUCAUCCCCACCCCAAGUUCAAAUGUUCUGGAAAGCAAUAAAAACUGGAAUGUUCUUAUCUCCUGUCUCCUCUUCAUGCAGACAACUAGGAGAAGCUGCCAGAGGUUUUAUAGCUCCAAAUGUAAAUCUGAGCAGAUAAGAUCAUACACUUAUGGAAUAAGUAAAUCACUACGUAGUUUCAGUUUGGGAAAUUAGGUUUGUCCCCCAAGUAAUGAAUUAUCUUGCUUUAAGUAAGCCUUAAAAUAACAAGUGGUGAACUUGAUAGAUCAAUUCUGUUUAUACUUCCCUGUCCACAACAAACCUCCUUAUUUAUUAAUGAAGCACUCAUUCCAUUGAAAGAAAGUAGUAGCAACAACUGAUAAGAAAAUUUUUUUUCAGGAAUAUAUGGAAAACCCUUGCACCUAAUAAGCCAAAUCCUGCCUUUCUAGAGGGAGAAGAUAGAUCAGUGAAGAUGCUGGGUUUUCUUAUACUUCACCAAGUCCAGUUGAUAAAACAAAGGUACACGGAGCACUGCCUUCAUGUCCAGCAAUAGAGACCUCAAUUCUAAAGCAUCGAUCCCUCAAAUUUUCUAUUCCAUUUCUCAUCUUACAACAUUCCUAGGCAUUUGCUGAUGCAAAAACUGCACAGGUGGAGAGGCUGAGAAGCCAAGCAGAAAGCCCUGCCAAGGGGCAGAGAAGUAGGGCAGAGCCUUUGUUGUUCUCCAGGGGCCUGGGAUGCACAAACAUGAGUUCAGAGCUGGCAGCAAAGCCAAGAGAGAGCCAUGCCUCUGUCUGUCAAUGAAGAAGUCUUUCCUGGACAUUUGUAACCUUCAGUUGAGCUGGGAAUCCCAUUUCUAUUUCCUGCUUGUACCAGGAACCAUGAGACAACUGGUCUGGAAAGAGGUAUCAAGGAACAUCUUCGUUCAUUCAUUUUCAGUGAGCAGCACAGAGGUUGGAGUCAAAAGAAUAUGUGUCCUCUGUCUCAAAAUUUUUUUUCUGAUUUCCUGUCAGCAAUAAAUUCACAUGAAGAUCAUGCCUUAGAGGGAGGCAACUGUACUUCCUAAUUAAGAAGGAACAUACUAUCCUUGGCUUAGGUGUCCGCUGCAGAGCAGGUCUUUUUUAAAAACUGUAAUGUUUUUGACUUGACAUUUAAUUCCACAGACACUUACUAAACAUUUAUACAGUUCCUCUCUCAAGGAACUUUUAAUCUUGCAGCACAGAGAAAAGUCAUGGGCGAAAUGACAUGGAUCCGAGUACGUGACACUCAGCUUUUAUUUUACCACAUCAGUUCCUUCGAUUGGUCCCUUAUAACACGGUUUUAAGAUCUUUUCUCAUUCUGGUUCACAAAACCAAGAAAGUUGAACAGAUUUGUCAGGUGCAGUUCCUGAAAUUACACGUAUGGCAAUAGGAGCCAUUUAUGGAGGACAUCUUCAAUUCUCGUUGCUAGGGAGUGAGUAUGGUACCAGGAAUCUGGAAGCACAGAGGUAAAAGCAAUGGAAUGGAGGAGGAAAUACAUAUACAAUGUACAUUCCCAAAGUCAGAGUGACAGGGAACCUGUGUCAGCUACAAGUGUGGCUGGCUGACUCCACCACAGCUAGAGGAGUGACUCUAGUCAGGGCUAGACUUUCUCCAAGCAUGUUGGACCCAAUGAUGAUUCACAACAAACCUAUCAACUCCAGAAGCAUGAGCCAUUAGGACACACUGGGUCUCCAUGUUCAACCACUAACUGAAUUAAGUUUUCAAAAAUUCUCAGAAUAAAGUCGUUUCCCAAACAAUUAG